Molecule: long non-coding RNA, 874 nt
Filed under: Vigna radiata
Lineage: Eukaryota; Viridiplantae; Streptophyta; Magnoliopsida; Fabales; Fabaceae
Description: long non-coding RNA (VRAD_LNC010911)
Source: RNAcentral
UCCUGUUCAGACGUUUUCAAUUAGCUGCUCAUUGAGAAAACCAAGUAAGGGGAGCUAGGCCUUUUCUAAGAGUGAAUUUAUGAUAUGCCUAUUUGGUUGGUUUAAACCUGUUGUACUAUUACAUUUUUUUUUUCAGUUUUGAGCAUGUUGAGUGACUUUAACUGAAACUAUGAAAAUUGUGAAACUUAAGGGUUCCUAUCAUGCAUUGUGCUUGGUGUUUAUGAGUAACUGCCUUUGGUGUGUGGUGUUUGAGUGUUAGUUUGUUGUGUGAUGGUGUAAUAUGGGCACACAAAUUUUAAUGCAAAGGGAAAGAGAUUUUGUUAGAUUGGUGGGUUUAUUUCAAAUAAAUUGGAUAUGACAAUUUUACAGGCGCCUUGUGAAGUGUAAUUGUGAGAGGGUUUUCUUUGGGGUAGUGUAGACGAGGGGAGUGAAGUUCAGUGUAUGGGAAGGGAGGUUUUCUGUUUUACUUAUGUAUGGAAAAGAAGAAAAAUAAAUGGAAGAAGGGUGUGAUGCCUAAUAUUUAAGUGAAGAAAGAAAGGAAAAGGGAGAAGAUGUGGGUGCUGGAAGUGUAUUGAAAGAAUGAGCUUAGAUUGAGAAAUAAAAAGGAAAGAAGAAACGAGUGAUGGACGGAGAGUAGAGGAGAGGAAAUAUUAUAGGGUAUUUUGGGUUGGAUGUUCUGUUUUAAAAAAAAUGGUCAAAUUGGAAAUAGGAGAGGAGGGUCGUGCAUGGUUUAUGGUAGUCUGCAUGUAUAUUUUAUGAAGGAGGAUAAGGAAUGGAAUUAAAUAUAUUAUAUGUGAAAUGUGGGAUGUUGCGUAAGUGUAAUGUUUUUCAUCCUUUCACAGUAGCAACAUAUUCAUUUUGGUGUGAAAUGAUG